Galeopterus variegatus (Sunda flying lemur) is the source of this 627-nucleotide long non-coding RNA. RefSeq lists it as uncharacterized. The transcript has 2 exons. NCBI's taxonomy places the organism in Eukaryota, Metazoa, Chordata, Mammalia, Dermoptera, Cynocephalidae. The record is from RefSeq and is a predicted model, not a curated record.
AAAAUCCCCCCAACAAACCACACUGGCCCGUCCUCACAGCACAAGCAUCAACCUGUCCGUGUUGAAUAAUAUCUCAGCUACUACAUUAGAAAACUAGAGUUCAUUCCCUGGGCGUCUAUCCCUAGAAAAUGGACGGUGCAGAGCGAGGCCGAAGUGUGCAGGGUGGCAGCACGGCCACCAAGAAAAAGGACCUGUCACCACAGCCGGGGUGCACACAGGCGGUCAGAGGCGCACGUCAGCAUGAAGGCAUUAUGAAUGUUCUUUGGAGCAUGAACAAAAGUGCAGAGACAGACAGAGGCAGCCACACGUGGUGCAGCUGCAGCCACCGUCACGGCCAGGAACACAGGCUGUGGCAGCCGGGAGCGGGACACACGUGUGUUGAGCCGAUCCCAGGCAGGCGGACAGGCAGCAUCCAGAGGGACGACUGGUGUGUGACAACCCGUGAGACCCCCUCCUGUCCUGCACUCACCUCUGGAGCUGGUCCCUGCAGCCCCUCACCUGCCCAACCUAGAGUCAGGGUCUGGGGCAUUCAUGCCUGGCAAAGGUGGGGCACAAGGGUGACCUUGGUGAAUUUCGUCCACAUGCAUUAAGGCAACGACUUUGUAAAACCCAAUCAGAGUUGAUGUG